Molecule: transfer RNA, 73 nt
Filed under: Clonorchis sinensis
Lineage: Eukaryota; Metazoa; Platyhelminthes; Trematoda; Opisthorchiida; Opisthorchiidae
Rfam family: tRNA
About the family: Transfer RNA (tRNA) molecules are approximately 80 nucleotides in length. Their secondary structure includes four short double-helical elements and three loops (D, anti-codon, and T loops).
Source: Rfam by way of RNAcentral
UCCUUGGUAGCUUGUUUGGUAGGGCACUCGCCCGGUAAGUGAGAGUUCGUGGGUUCGGUUGCCGCCCAAGGAC